CAGUUGAAUACAGAUGAGAGUUUGAGUCCAUUGGAAUUGUCCCUAAACAUUUGGGUUUUGGUAACACUGAUAAGUGGAAUUUCAUUGAAGUGUAGCCAAAUGGCAGUAGAUUAAAAUGUGAAUAAGAGAAAAAAGUGGAGUGAAAAGUGUAUGAAUACACAUCUUUUGAGAAGUUUGACUAUAAAGAAUAGCAGAUAAAUAGAAUGUGACAGCUUAAAAAAGUUCUCUCUUCCUCUUUCCAAAAGAUAUUUGAAAGACUAAAUUUUAGGAACCAAGUCUAGAGGAGCUGACACUAUCUGGGACAUGCAAUUCUCAAGUGGAUGGAUGGAAUAUGAGUGUUUGAAUGUGAAUAUUGCAGCAAUCAAGCUUUUGCUAUGCAGAGAAGGAAUAUGAAAAGGAAUUAAAGAUCAGAUGCUGAGAAUAUUGAAGACAUGAGCAAUUUCCUAAUUUUCCUUUUGUGUCUAACCUAUUUCACUUGGCACCAGCAACUGAUUGUUAAAAUGAUAAAGUCUCAGCACCAAGAAUGUUGGUAAUAAUCCCCAUUUCGUCACUCAUUUGUGUUCAUCAUAUUUUUUCCCAUCAUGUGAGCAUAAUUUCCUCUGAUAGGUGUGUUCGUGAAUUCAUUUCAUGUACCUCUUUUGUGUCAACAAGCAUAAU
This 657-nucleotide long non-coding RNA is filed under the name Homo sapiens (human). RNAcentral's name for it is "HSALNT0302461". The record is from RNAcentral. Lineage: Eukaryota; Metazoa; Chordata; Mammalia; Primates; Hominidae.